Molecule: ribosomal RNA, 413 nt
Filed under: uncultured microorganism
Description: bacterial SSU rRNA
Rfam family: Archaeal small subunit ribosomal RNA
Source: RNAcentral
CAGCCCCGCGGUAAUACCGGCGGCCCGAGUGGCGGUCACUAUUAUUUGGCUUAAAGCGUCCGUAGCCGGGUUGGGAAGUCCUCCGGGAAAUCUGGCCGCUUAACGGUCAGAAUGCCGGAGGAUACUCCCAGCCUAGGGAGCGGGAGAGGCCGAGGGUAUUCCCGGAGUAGGGGUGAAAUCCUAUAAUCCCGGGAGGACCACCUGUGGCGAAGGCGCUCGGCUGGAACGCGUCCGACGGUGAGGGACGAAGGCCAGGGGAGCAAACCGGAUUAGAUACCCGGGUAGUCCUGGCGGUAAACGAUGCGGACUUUGUGUCGGACAAGCUAUGAGCUUGUCCGGUGCCGGAGGGAAACCGUUAAGUCCGCCGCCUGGGGAGUACGGCCGCAAGGCUGAAACUUAAAGGAAUUGGCGGG